AAUUCUUAAUAAUGAUGACUGAUGAAUAAUGUCCUGUCCCCCCCCCCCGCCUGUCAUCCAGCUAUGUCCAGUGGGUUAGGGGGCAGUCGAGCAAGCCAGGGACCAGAAUGGAUGUACUGAAGAAGUACAUCCAGAUGAGGGAUGCACAGCAGGCACCGCCCAGCUCUGCGCCCUCCGAGGUCCCCCUUGCCGUUCCGGGCUCCUCUAAGGAGAUACCCACCACAGCUCCUGAGCUCUCAGACGCCGAGCUCCUGGCCUGCGCAGCGGAGCACGAGACGUCAGCCCUAAAUGCUGAAGUGGGUUAAGCUGCCAGUCUUUCCGCGCCCCCGCCCCCCACCCCCAAAGCGGUCGCUUCACGCUCCUCUCCUCGGAAAGCCCCCGCGAAGGGAGAGGUUUCCCGUGCUGCUUCUGAGG
Molecule: long non-coding RNA, 414 nt
Organism: Brienomyrus brachyistius
Lineage: Eukaryota; Metazoa; Chordata; Actinopteri; Osteoglossiformes; Mormyridae
Exons: 4
Source: RefSeq, a predicted model, not a curated record